This 468-nucleotide ribosomal RNA is filed under the name uncultured bacterium. RNAcentral describes it as "partial 16S ribosomal RNA". It matches the Rfam family "Bacterial small subunit ribosomal RNA", at positions 28 to 507 of the family's 1533-position model. The record is from RNAcentral.
GACGAACGCUGGCGGCGUGCUUAACACAUGCAAGUCGAACGGAAAGGCCCUGCUGUUUUGGGGUUCUCGAGUGGCGAACGGGUGAGUAACACGUGAGUAACCUGCCCUUGACUUUGGGAUAACUUCAGGAAACUGGGGCUAAUACCGGAUAGUAGCUCCUGCUGCAUGGUGGGGGUUGGAAAGUUUCGGCGGUUGGGCAGGGACUCGCGGCUUAUCAUCUUGUUUGUGGGGUAGUGGCUUACCAAGGCUUUGCCGGGUAGCCGUCAUGAGAGGGUGACCGGCGACAUUGGGACUGAGAUACGGCCCAGACUGCUAUGGGAGGCAGCAGUGGGGAAUAUUGCACAAUGGGCGGAAGCCUGAUGCAGAAACGCCGCGUGCGGGAUGACGGCUUUCGGGUUGUAAACCGAUUUCGCCUGUGACGAAGAGUGAGUGACGGUAAUGGGUAAAGAAGCACCGGCUAACUACGUG